GACGAACGCUGGCGGCGUGCUUAACACAUGCAAGUCGAACGGAAAGGCCCUGCUUUUGUGGGGGGCUCGAGUGGCGAACGGGUGAGUAACACGGGAGUAACCUGCCCUGGACGUUGGGAUAACUUCAGGAAACUGGGGCUAAUACCGGAUAGGAGCUCCUGCUGCAUGGUGGGGGUUGGAAAGUUUCGGCGGUUGGGGAUGGACUCGCGGCUUAUCAGCUUGUUGGUGGGGUAGUGGCUUACCAAGGCUUUGACGGGUAGCCGGCCUGAGAGUGUGACCGGCCUCAUUGGGACUGAGAUACGGCCCAGAGUCCUGCGGGAGGCAGAAGUGUGGUAUAUUGCCCAAUGGGCCGAAGCCUGAUGCAGCAACACCGCGUGCGGGAUGAUGGCCUUCGGGUUGUAAACCACUUUCGCCUGUAACUGAGCGUGAGUGACGGUAAUGUGUAAAGAAGCACCGGCUAACUACGUG
Molecule: ribosomal RNA, 468 nt
Filed under: uncultured bacterium
Lineage: Bacteria
Description: partial 16S ribosomal RNA
Rfam family: Bacterial small subunit ribosomal RNA
Source: RNAcentral